AAGUGGCGAAAGGGCGAGGAAUACAUGGAUAACGUGCCUUUGGCAUGGGGACAGCUGAGGGAAACUUCAGGUAAUACCCAAUGAGACCACAGUGCUUUCGGGCACAGGGGUCAAAGAUGGGGCUCCUUCGGGACCUAUCGGCCAUAGAGCGGUCCAUGUCCUAUCAGCUUGUUGGUGAGGUAAUGGCUCACCAAGGCGACGACGGGUACCGGGACUGAGAGGUUGACCCGGCGCAUCGGGACUGAGACACUGCCCGGACUCCUACGGGAGGCUGCAGUAACGAAUAUUGGUCAAUGGGCGAAAGCCUGAACCAGCGACGCCGCGUGUGGGAGGAAGCCCUUCGGGGUGUAAACCACUGUCAGGGAUUACCAAGCAAUGGAGGCUAAUACCCUCCUGCGUUGAGGCGUCCCAGAGGAAGUCACGGCUAACUUCGUGCCAGCAGCCGCGGUAAUACGAAGGUGGCGAGCGUUGUUCGGAAUCACUGGGCUUAAAGAGCACGUAGGCGGACUGCCAAGCGUCUUGUGAAAUCCCCCGGCUCAACCGGGGAAUUGCUGGGCGAACUGGUAGUCUUGAGGCAAGUAGGGGCAGAUGGAACUCUUGGUGGAGCGGUGGAAUGCGUAGAUAUCAAGAGGAACGCCAGAGGCGAAGGCGAUCUGCUGGGCUUGACCUGACGCUGAGGUGCGAAAGCCAGGGGAGCAAACGGGAUUAGAUACCCCGGUAGUCCUGGCCAUAAACGAUGUCCACUAGAUCGGUGAACUUCUGACAGUGUGCCGGUCGAAACAAAAGCGUUAAGUGGACCGCCUGGGGAGUACGGUCGCAAGGCUAAAACUCAAAGGAAUUGACGGGGGCUCACACAAGCGGUGGAGCAUGUUGCUUAAUUCGAUGCAACGCGAAGAACCUUAUCCUGGGCUUGACAUGCUUGGAUGCCCAUCUGGAAACAGAGUAGGCUGCCCUUCGGGGUGAAACUUGCACAGGUGCUGCAUGGCUGUCGUCAGCUCGUGUCGUGAGAUGUUGGGUUAAGUCCCGUAACGAGCGAAAC
RNAcentral lists this ribosomal RNA (1039 nucleotides) under uncultured organism. Its description in RNAcentral is "bacterial SSU rRNA". It matches the Rfam family "Bacterial small subunit ribosomal RNA", at positions 93 to 1102 of the family's 1533-position model. The record is from RNAcentral.